RNAcentral lists this ribosomal RNA (301 nucleotides) under uncultured bacterium. RNAcentral describes it as "partial 16S ribosomal RNA". It matches the Rfam family "Bacterial small subunit ribosomal RNA", at positions 509 to 807 of the family's 1533-position model. The record is from RNAcentral.
CAGUAGCCGCGGUAAUACGAAGGGUGCAAGCGUUAAUCGGAAUUACUGGGCGUAAAGGGUGCGUAGGCGGUUGUUUAAGUCUGUUGUGAAAUCCCCGGGCUCAACCUGGGAAUGGCAAUGGAGACUGGGCGGCUAGAGUGUGUCAGAGGAUGGUGGAAUUCCCGGUGUAGCGGUGAAAUGCGUAGAGAUCGGGAGGAACAUCAGUGGCGAAGGCGGCCAUCUGGGACAACACUGACGCUGAAGCACGAAAGCGUGGGGAGCAAACAGGAUUAGAUACCCCCGUAGUCCCUGUCUCUUAUAC